RNAcentral lists this ribosomal RNA (624 nucleotides) under Enterococcus faecium. RNAcentral's name for it is "bacterial SSU rRNA". It matches the Rfam family "Bacterial small subunit ribosomal RNA", at positions 75 to 678 of the family's 1533-position model. The record is from RNAcentral. Lineage: Bacteria; Bacillati; Bacillota; Bacilli; Lactobacillales; Enterococcaceae.
GGAGCUUGCUCCACCGGAAAAAGAAGAGUGGCGAACGGGUGAGUAACACGUGGGUAACCUGCCCAUCAGAAGGGGAUAACACUUGGAAACAGGUGCUAAUACCGUAUAACAAUCAAAACCGCAUGGUUUUGAUUUGAAAGGCGCUUUCGGGUGUCGCUGAUGGAUGGACCCGCGGUGCAUUAGCUAGUUGGUGAGGUAACGGCUCACCAAGGCCACGAUGCAUAGCCGACCUGAGAGGGUGAUCGGCCACAUUGGGACUGAGACACGGCCCAAACUCCUACGGGAGGCAGCAGUAGGGAAUCUUCGGCAAUGGACGAAAGUCUGACCGAGCAACGCCGCGUGAGUGAAGAAGGUUUUCGGAUCGUAAAACUCUGUUGUUAGAGAAGAACAAGGAUGAGAGUAACUGUUCAUCCCUUGACGGUAUCUAACCAGAAAGCCACGGCUAACUACGUGCCAGCAGCCGCGGUAAUACGUAGGUGGCAAGCGUUGUCCGGAUUUAUUGGGCGUAAAGCGAGCGCAGGCGGUUUCUUAAGUCUGAUGUGAAAGCCCCCGGCUCAACCGGGGAGGGUCAUUGGAAACUGGGAGACUUGAGUGCAGAAGAGGAGAGGGGAAUUCCUGGGAAAC